GAUGAACGCUAGCUACAGGCUUAACACAUGCAAGUCGAGGGGCAGCAGGAUCUAGCAAUAGAUUGCUGGCGACCGGCGCACGGGUGAGUAACACGUAUCCAACCUGCCGAUAACUCGGGGAUAGCCUUUCGAAAGAAAGAUUAAUACCCGAUGGUAUAAUCAGACCGCAUGGUCUUGUUAUUAAAGAAUUUCGGUAUGCGAUGGGGAUGCGUUCCAUUAGGUAGUAGGCGGGGUAACGGCCCACCUAGCCAACGAUGGAUAGGGGUUCUGAGAGGAAGGUCCCCCACAUUGGAACUGAGACACGGUCCAA
Molecule: ribosomal RNA, 310 nt
Filed under: uncultured bacterium
Lineage: Bacteria
Description: bacterial SSU rRNA
Rfam family: Bacterial small subunit ribosomal RNA
Source: RNAcentral